Molecule: ribosomal RNA, 491 nt
Filed under: Metschnikowia australis
Lineage: Eukaryota; Fungi; Ascomycota; Pichiomycetes; Serinales; Metschnikowiaceae
Description: LSU rRNA
Rfam family: Eukaryotic large subunit ribosomal RNA
Source: RNAcentral
AACACAGGGAUUGCCUCAGUAACGGCGAGUGAAGCGGCAAAAGCUCAAAUUUGAAAUCCCCCGGGAAUUGUAAUUUGAAGGUGGCCUCAGUUAGUCCAAACAUUCUUAAGUCCAUUGGAAAAUGGCGCCAUGGAGGGUGAUAGCCCCGUAAAGAUGUCGUUUGUUCUAUUUUCUCUGGCCACCAAAGAGUCGAGUUGUUUGGGAAUGCAGCUCUAAGUGGGUGGUAAAUUCCAUCUAAAGCUAAAUAUUGGCGAGAGACCGAUAGCGAACAAGUACAGUGAUGGAAAGAUGAAAAGCACUUUGAAAAGAGAGUGAAAAAGUACGUGAAAUUGUUGAAAGGGAAGGGCUUGCAAGCAGACACAACCUCGUGUUGGGCCAGCAUCGGGGCGAGAGGAAGUAAAAACGAUUUGGAAAUGUAACUUUCGAGUAUUAUAGACCUUAUCCCUCCCUUCCAUCUCAUCCCGAGGCCUGCGGUUAUCCUAGGAUGAUGG